CCUACGGGAGGCUGCAGUGAGGAAUAUUGGUCAAUGGGAGAGAUCCUGAACCAGCCAAGCCGCGUGAGGGAAGACGGCCCUAUGGGUUGUAAACCUCUUUUGUCGGAGAACAAAACCCGGGACGUGUCCCGGACUGCGUGUAUCCGAAGAAAAAGCAUCGGCUAACUCCGUGCCAGCAGCCGCGGUAAUACGGAGGAUGCGAGCGUUAUCCGGAUUUAUUGGGUUUAAAGGGUGCGUAGGCGGUCCGUUAAGUCAGCGGGAAAAUUGCGGGGCUCAACCCCGUCGAGCCGUUGAAACUGGCAGACUUGAGUUGGCGAGAAGUACGCGGAAUGCGCGGUGUAGCGGUGAAAUGCAUAGAUAUCGCGCAGAACUCCGAUUGCGAAGGCGGCGUACCGGCGCCAGACUGACGCUGAGGCACGAAAGCGUGGGGAUCGAACAGGAUUAGAUACCCCAGUAGUC
This 459-nucleotide ribosomal RNA is filed under the name uncultured bacterium. Its description in RNAcentral is "partial 16S ribosomal RNA". It matches the Rfam family "Bacterial small subunit ribosomal RNA", at positions 338 to 795 of the family's 1533-position model. The record is from RNAcentral.